AGCCCCUUAGCUGAGGAGAUUAGCAUCGCCCUUACAAGACGAAGACGUUGGUUCGAUUCCAACAGGGGCUACCA
Molecule: transfer RNA, 74 nt
Filed under: Aureispira sp.
Lineage: Bacteria; Pseudomonadati; Bacteroidota; Saprospiria; Saprospirales; Saprospiraceae
Also listed under: 1 other name
Description: tRNA-Val
Rfam family: tRNA
About the family: Transfer RNA (tRNA) molecules are approximately 80 nucleotides in length. Their secondary structure includes four short double-helical elements and three loops (D, anti-codon, and T loops).
Source: RNAcentral